Molecule: unclassified non-coding RNA, 346 nt
Filed under: soil metagenome
Description: partial contains 5.8S ribosomal RNA, internal transcribed spacer 2, and large subunit ribosomal RNA
Rfam family: 5.8S ribosomal RNA (bases 1-120)
Source: RNAcentral
GAUGAAGAACGUAGUGAAAUGCGAUAAUUAAUGUGAAUUGCAGAAUUCAGUGAAUCAUCGAGUCUUUGAACGCACAUUGCGCCCCCUGGUAUUCCGGGGGGCAUGCCUGUCCGAGCGUCAUUGCUGCCCUCAAGCACGACUUGUGUGUUGGGCUUCCGUCCCUGGCAACGGGGACGGGCCCAAAAGGCAGUGGCGGCACCAUGUCUGGUCCUCGAGCGUAUGGGGCUUUGUCACCCGCUCCCGUAGGUCCAGCUGGCAGCUAGCCUCGCAACCAAUCUUUUUAACCAGGUUGACCUCGGAUCAGGUAGGGAUACCCGCUGAACUUAAGCAUACAAUAAGCGGAGGA